This 1095-nucleotide long non-coding RNA is filed under the name Haliotis rufescens (red abalone). RNAcentral describes it as "uncharacterized LOC125380865, transcript variant X3". The record is from RNAcentral. Lineage: Eukaryota; Metazoa; Mollusca; Gastropoda; Lepetellida; Haliotidae.
GAAGCCAUUUAAACAGGAUAAGGAUACAUAGGAGGGGUCGUUAUUGUUUAAUGAGUUCACAGUAGGCUGAUAGGAUGCAAUGGCCUUGAUCUCUGUUGAUUGAUGGUUGUGGCGGCGAAUGUGGACUGCUUCUCUUUGUUUGCUUUUUGUGAAGUCCUUGGACUUGUUGUUGGAGAGGAUUUGGGCGGUUCAUGUUGUGAUUAGGGCAGUUGCUGAUAUGGUCCGAAUGGCUGAUUUACUGUCAGAUUUGAUGGUUGAAGUUUUGUGCUCUUUGAUUCUGGUGUUGAUGGGGCGGGAUGUUUCACCUACAUAGGAUUGCCCCAUAUCAUCAGCCUUCAACCCCAAUAUUGACCCCGACUUCGCCAGAUCAACCCCCCUCAAUUCUCUAAGAAGGGACAACGGCAGAAACACAACUAAACGCCAAGAACCUAAAGGUGUAGUUCAUAAAAUUGAAUGUAACUGGACAGUCCUAUAUAGGGAAAACAUCCCGCCCUAUAACUGUUUGCAUUCAUCUAGCACCCCCACAUUUCUAAAAAGAAAACACGAAAAAAAGAUUCAAUAAUUGUAGCCUUUUCCUGUUCACAAAUCCUAAAGUGGACACUCAUACAUUAAUUCGACUAUGAAUUAAUUAGUCAUAGAAUAUUAAAUACACGUAACGCCACAUCAAAUUAGCGGUAUUAACUUAUACUUUGAAACUGAGAGUUAUCUCCCUUCCGUUAGUGCCGAUCGUUGCCAAGCUACCGAUAUCAGCAAAACGACGCCAUUUUAUGUUGCCGCAUCUGCUGUCUCUUUGUUCUCAAUCUAUAACCUGCCUUGGAUUUUGAGCUUCGCUUGAGUUUUUAAACAUGCAGUCAAGUAACUGUGUUCAAGUGAAGAAGAAACAGAAACCCUCCCAGCCGUCCUUCCUGAGAAGCACGAUGUCCCGUCCCGUGUCAUCCGAGUGGUCAAAAGCGCCUUCACCUCUAGCAAAAACGUUUAAUUAAAGCUUUCCUUGGAACAAGUUCCAGGAUAUUUUGUUGGGUUCAUGAACUUUUCAUCUUGUUAAUUAUUUCCAUAUGGUUUCAGUUGUAUAAAUAAAUGUUUUUGUUGUUCAAA